RNAcentral lists this transfer RNA (84 nucleotides) under Patescibacteria group bacterium. RNAcentral's name for it is "tRNA-Leu". It matches the Rfam family "tRNA". From Rfam's summary of the family: Transfer RNA (tRNA) molecules are approximately 80 nucleotides in length. Their secondary structure includes four short double-helical elements and three loops (D, anti-codon, and T loops). RNAcentral also lists the same sequence under 2 other names. The record is from RNAcentral.
GCCCAGGUGGCGGAACUGGUAGACGCGUAGGCUUCAGAAGCCUAUGUCAGCAAUGGCGUGUGGGUUCAAAUCCCACUCUGGGCA